RNAcentral lists this long non-coding RNA (7671 nucleotides) under Triticum aestivum (bread wheat). RNAcentral describes it as "long non-coding RNA (TAES_LNC023529)". The record is from RNAcentral. Lineage: Eukaryota; Viridiplantae; Streptophyta; Magnoliopsida; Poales; Poaceae.
UCUAGUCAAUGAUAUACUUUAGUGUAGAGUUCGAUCACAUGCUUAUUAGUGUAGAAUCCAAGGAACUAUUAAUACAAUUAUCUAGCACGAUAGGUCCAUGAUACAGCAUUCCAGGUACAAUAAUAUUCAUCAAAUAUAUGUGUAUAAGAUUACAUCAUUGAUGAAUACAAUUAUCUAGCAUAGCCCUAAGGCUAUUUAAAUGGCGGCGGAAGUCUAUUUAAAUGGCGGUGGAAGUCUUGAUUUGGUAGCGUCUCACUCUGGCUGGACUCCAUAACUCACAUGACUGGCAAGAUUACGGCCUAGCACGACGGAACAAGCGAACAAUUCGGGCACGACCUACAAAACCCAGGUCAGUACAUUGAAUGUACUUGCAAGACAACCAAAUACAUAGCAUCCAAACAAACAGAUGACAAAGCAAGAACCAAGCAUAUGCAACAGUCUACUUCAACACAACUUCUAAGCAUGGCAUGAUAUUAACUAGAAUCAUAAAUCAAACUAAGCAUGAACCACAUCAUAGCAUCUACUAGCAUGGCAUAUCAAACUUACUUCCAGCAAAGCAACAACAAAGCAUUGCAUAUCAAAACAUGGCAUGGCAUCAUGAAACUAUGCUGAAAAUAAACUACUAGUUACCUCUCGUGAAGAAAUGUUGUAUUAAUCUUACGAAUCAAUCACUUACUCUGCCACAGCUCCUCGGAGCACACGCAUGGCUUACCAAGACCUAGUCUCGGGGUCAUAUCAACACGUCAUCGUGACUUCUCACGAUUUUCCCAUACACCAAGUCACCACAUGAUUUAUAUCCUCUUAGUUAUCACACAAGUUAUUAUCAGAUUUAUCCUCCAUUUCGACCAAGACCCGAUAGUGUCACCUACUACGAACUUGUGCCCAUGACCGAGGACGCGGCUAUUGAUAGAUUAAAUAUACACUCUGCAGAUGUAGCGCACUUUACACACAUCACGGAACCUUGGCCUCGCACUCCCAUUCGGGUGGACCAAAACCUUCCGAUGAAACCGAGCUACUGCCAUGACACUCUCCUAGCCACUCCGACCAACACCCGCUUGGGGUUCAGUCCUGGGCGGCCCCGUGUCUACCAACGACACCAACAGCCACCGUCGUGGCAAAAACGGUCCCAAACGGGGACAAGGUUACAUAAAAAAAUAGCACACAAGGUUAUGUCCGGCUACCUGAUCAGGGUAGCGCGUGCCCAUAACCUUCCCUCAUGGGAGGCACCGGAGAGAGGCAUGACAAUAGACCCAGCUAGGACCUCCCCAUAAGGUAAAUGUGGUUGCACUAGAGAAAGCUCGAUUUGGGUGGCACAAUGAUAUCCCAGUGAUGACGGAGGAGGUUUGUUAUUAAGUCAUAUUAUUAACUUCUCCAUCAUCAAUCAUCCUGCGAGCAUUGUUAACAUGAAUUCAACAACUAACACGCAACAUACCGAUGCAGUAACAAAACAUCAAGCAUUCAAAAAAAAACAAUGAUAGCAUGCGAAACAUGGCAAUAACAAGUACUAGCAAACUUACCAGUGCAACAGAAUUAUCAUAACAUCGAUACUACUAACAUGGAACUAAACUAGACAGAGGCAUGACAUUAUUAGUAACAACAUCAAACUAGCAUGUCAACUUAUUUCAUGAAAGCAUAAGCAUGCAAGACAGAUAACAAAAACAUAAAGCACGGCUAAACAUACACGAAACUACUACAACUAAACACACACACACGAGGUGCAAGCAAAGUCAACAUGCAAGUUUGAGGCUCUUGAUAAGAGGUUGGCUUGCCUGGGGGUCGGGGAUUACUCUGGAAAAAGGUGCGGAACGAUUGCGGAAAGAGUUGCCGAAAACAGUUCUCUCUCGGAGGGGGCUGUUUACGGGCAAGGGCAAAAUGGUCAUUUUCACUGUGUGAAAACAUGGUGAAAAUGAUUCCAUCCAAACGGGCUCGACGAAACAAAGAAGUGGGCUUUGGAAUCACCUCAAUCGGAGUUGUGAGCAAAAAGAUAUGAUAGUUUUACUGCUAGGGACCUAUCUGUAAUGAAAAUAUUUUCAAACAGGGCCUGGACAGAAAAACAGAAAACGUAUUAGGUGAAAUACGCUUUCAGAACCGGGAAAGCGCACUUUGGUAUAAAGAAGAACUGGAUUACGUUUUCACUGAGAAAAAGCGCCUUCUUGGUUGAAGCAGAAUAAAACUACGCUUACACGAAGGGGAAACGUAUCCAGCUGAUUACGCGUUCACUUAAGUGGCUGGGCCCGCCACUUAUGCACGUCAUCCGGUCCGAGUGAACGCCUCUGCGACCGACUGGCGGGGCCCGCGGGCAGGUGGGGUCGACCUGAUCGUCGUCUUCCUCCUCCCGCUCGCACGCGCGCCUGGCAGAGAGAGGGGCUCACCUCGACGGCGAUCGCUGGCGUGUCCGGCCACCUCUCGGGGCAUGGAACCUACCCAAAAGAUUAGGGCGGAGAGGCGCAUCCCGUGGUUGUGUCAGCUACCGCCGAGGAUCACGAGGGAGGAGCAGGAAGGCGGGCGGCGGAGCAGGCCUUCGGCCUCCGGCGAACAGGGGGCUCCGGUGGGGAAACGGCGGGGCGGAGGCCACAGGGAGGUUCGCCGGAGCUUGGGGAAGGCAGUGGUGGAGGUGGAACGGCGAGAGGGGUGCGACAUCUUCGGGAUCGAGCAGAGCCCGAGAAGGCGGCCAUGGCGAUGGGGAGGGGUCAGAGAGGAGCUCUGGGCUAGGAGAGAGGCUCUGGGAGGCGUUAGGGACUGCGAGGGGGUCGAGGGCUCUACUUAUAGCCGCGAUGAGAGCUCGAGGGGGAGGGGAGGAGGUGACACGCGGUGCGGAUACGUGUCCGUGCGCCGGCGACGCGCACACGCGGCCAAGGGUCACGGGGAGCGGCGAGAAGGCGACGAGGGUGACGCGGACGAGUGCCACUGGGGUCACGGAGACGAGGGACGCUCGUGGACGAGAGGGGAAAACGGACAGGAGUGAGGAAAUGAUGGCGCACAUGGGAGCUUACUGUGUUCGGCGACGGUGAAGGCUCAACGAGGAAGCAAACGAAGGGGGAAAGGGGUCCAGGCGCAUGGCGACGAUGAAGCUGAGCUGGUUGACACUCGGGGACAUGCCAGAACCGGCCAGAGCGGCGCUUCUGUUGCCAAUAGUGGCGAGACCACCGUUUUGGCCUGCAUUGCCCCGUGGUAACCACCGACAACACACGCUUUGUUUGUCUACUUAGUGCCAAACCAUGUCAACUGUGGAGUCCUUCCAAGGCUCAUUAAAGAAGAUGUGAUGGCACGGGCAGAAGUGUAGGGAGCAGAGGGUCACGAGCUCGACAAGUUUUCUGUUGCAAACUUGGCCAUGUUCUGGAGACUAAACCAGAGAGGUUAAGUGGAAAACUUGAUGUCUAGGAGGCUUAGGGUAGCAAAGACUAAGGUCAUGGGAAUUAUGAGGGCAUUUGGACAAGUAUUUAGCAUAGUUGUAGUGCAACUGCCAAAUGUGGUCCAGAAAACAAAUGAUGAAGAAGCACUGACUAGGAGUGUUGGCUUGGGCUAAAACUUGGCAAAGCUUCCUCAUUUGGUCAUAUGUACAUGCUGCAAAAAGGUCAUACAAAAUGGACUUCACAAAUUGGUACGUGUUUCACAAGCAUCACAUCUGACCCGAAACUUUGGAAAAAUCCAGGAAAAUAUUGGCUACAUGAAAUGAGCCAAACGUUGUGGAGGAUAGGUUAUAUGGAUAGGAUAAGGCUUGAAAAUAUUUUCAGCCAUAAUGGAGCAAGAUAAAAUAUACUUGCUUCACAAACUGAAAAUUCGGACAGAAAACAAGAAUUGCUCCUGUGCUCACAUAGUUCAAUGAAAUGAACUGAAUUUAGGUGGAGGCUAAUGAUUUGAGAUACUUGAGAGGAUGGAAAAGUUUCUUCCCAUUUGGAAACUCUAUGAAGGUACUCCCUUCACAUAGUUGCAUUCUGGUCAGAAACUUUGAAAAAUUGCACAGGGAGCUACGAUGAAUGGAUUGAGCUCAUCUUUGGUAUCCAUGGAUGAUUUAUCAAUUCUAAUCAAACUCACAAAUUGCAUCUCAAUAGGAAUUAGGAAUAAGGCACUUCCUUUGCAAAAUUUCAGAGAAGGCAGAAACUUGCAUUGGAUCAUGUUCCCAAUUUUUGAUCUGUGGAACAUGAGACAAGAAUGGAACUAGUGAUUAUAUAGCAAGGACAAGCUCCACAAUUUAUGUGGAAAUUUUCUCUGCUAUAAAAAUAGUAGUUCCUUUGGAAAAUGGCAGAAAUGCAAUACUGGCUUAAAAUAGGAAAAGGCAAUUUUUCUUAUUUAAUUAUGGACAAUAUAUUUGCCAGAGCUUGGAUGAGGCAUAAAUAUCAACUCCCCCAAUUCUCAUGAAUUUAGGAGAUGGCUAGCUAUGCCUUUGGAUUUUAUUCCUCAGAAAGGCAAGAAAGGAAUAAAUCACAAUUCAAAAAUAUUGCAUAGGACUUAGCAAUAUUUUUGCAUAUCCAGGGUUCAGGAAGGUAGAAGGGUCUCUGGGAAUAGAGUGGAUGAUCAACAGAUCAAGGAAAAUGAUGACUCCUUUGUAUUCACAAAGGGCACAUUCAAAUUCCAAAAAUUUGGAAUUAGGGUUUGAGAGGGUUUGGAAUGAUGCAAAUGAGGUCUUGCCCACUAACAAAGACAUGAGCAGGGUUUUGAAAUGUUGUAAAUGACAAGAAUUAUCAGAGUCAUCCAACAAACUCAGGAGAAAGAUUUUGAAAAUGAGUGCCAGGAAGGAAUAACAACUCAAAAAUUGAUAACCCAAUUUUGGGGCUGUUACAACUCCCCCCCCCCUUAAAAAGAAUCUCAUCCUCGAGAUUCCUAGAGUUACUGCACAAAUGAAAGGAUAACCACUUCGGUGAAAAACCUCAAGGUUAAUUUUAACACUUCGGUCAGAUUCAAAUGAGUUGGGGUACCGAUAAUUGGUCCACCCAAAGAGAGAUAUGGGCAAAACAGGGUUACCUCCACGGCUAGGGGCACUCGAGAUCAAAUUCCCGAAAAAUGCUGGAUGCACGUUGGGGUACUGGAAAAUUUUGCGGAUUGCUCCACGAAAAAGUAGGUGUUGGGGUAGAAUCGGAGUUGAAAUCUGUAUUGGGGUAGAUGUACUGGAUUGAGUGAAAUAAAGUUGGCAGUGUUCCUCCGGAAAUGAAAUCGGGAACAAGAAUUAGAGACGAGGAACUGCCAGACGGAAAUGCCUCUGCGAGGCUCUAGGUUUAGAAAUCCGGCACAUGGGGUAUGCACAGAUAGAGAGGGAUAUGUGACUUUGCUUUUCCCCGAGUACUGCCCUAAAUGUACUCGUUGGUGAACCGGGUAUGCGUGCAGUAUGCAGUACAAACAAACUAACAAACAGACCGAUGCGACAAACAUGCAAUAAAAAGCACAGCAGACAAAUCAUUCUAAGGUUUUUUAAUGCUAGUGAAUAUAUGUAGUCCUGGCAUACAUAUGCCUACACCAGCGCGCAUUUAUUAGAUACUCAGGACGAGCCAAUGUUUUUUUAGUGUAUGUGUCGUACUGAUUAAAAUCUUGUUAGCAACACAUUGCCAACCCUGUCAAACAUCUCUGCUUGACAGAGAGACAAACAAAAACAAGCACGAAAACAAAAGCACGAAAACAUACACCGCAUACGGAUUACAGCAUACAACAAAGCACGAAUGCUCUACGCGCUAAACGAAACUAUUUACUCCGGGAUACAUAGUUCUAUCCUCAUAUCGAGGAUGAAUAGACUGACUGACCUACUCGCAUAAUCAUCUCACUGCGCGGCUGAGGUCAUGCAGAGGACUCGCCUUGCUGGGCUCUCCUGGAGGACGAAGACUGAGCCAAUCUCCAUCUUCAUCGUUCGACACUACUAUGGGUUGGGGCUCUACUACUGGAGGUGUGGCUGAAAUCGAUCCAAGCAAAUGCUGCUGGUGGAUCCGUAAAAGAGCCUUGUCGAGGGUGAUGAUGUUUGGCUGAGAGGAUAGCACUGGUUCGUAUGGCGUUGGGCAAACGACUUGAGAUGCGAAUUUACGAGCCUCACGGUAAGCUUCCUUGACGACUCCUACCACAUCAUUGUCCAUGGUUCUAAACUCGGCAAGCAUCUUUGAAAUCAUCAUCCCUUGGGCAGUGAUAUACUGCACCAGGCGAGCGAUUGCGGGGUCAUCUCCUUGGAUAGCAGGAGAAGGCUGCAUUCCUGCUUCUGCCACAAUGGGGAACAAGCAGAACUCCCGCCUCGUUGCCACAUGCGGGAACUUGGUUCGGAGGUGUAGGAUAGCCUCCGCAGCAGCGGCCUGAAUGGCUAAAUCAGUGGUAGGCAUGGAUCUACCCUGAAAAACCAACGGCUGGCCAUCUACUGCGGGACCUAGGCUGAUGUGCACUCUUGCAUCAAAGCGAUGAAGGUGAGGGACGGGUGCCGACUGGAACAUCAGGUAAUCGGGGCUAGCCUUACAGCCAAAGGCUUUGGUGAGCAUCUCAGUAAGAAGGGGUGGAAAGCCACUGUGGUUGACGGCACAGGUGCGGAUGUAAUACUUGGAAGCUUUGAAGCUACUAGUCAUGGCUGGGGAGCUACUAGCUAGGCUUCUCUGCAGGGACAUGGCUGACUGAGGGGUGAGCAAUAUGGGGAGCCGAAAGGGGCUUUUAUAGGCAGCUAUGCAGGAUGCCCGCAGGGCGUGGCCCCUUUCCCUUAAUGGCGAAUGGAAAGUGGUGCGGCCGACCAGAAAGGAUAGGGCUGCUAUUCGUUCCACGGAUAACUAGGCGGGGACAGCGGGGUGAGGAAGUGUCGGUCCUGACUGCGCCACCUGUUGAUUAACAGUGGCCAUGCCGGAUGCCAGGGAUGGGUCAAAUACCUUAGGGUCAUUACAGGUUGAUGGUAGCGGUGAUCUAAUGCUAGGAUAACCUAUGCCAGCCUGGCUGCUCUGAAACCAUCUCCUGUGGCACCCCGAUCCACAUGGAGUAGGGGGCCUUCGCACGUCAGCCCAGGAUAACACCUGACGCAUGACAGGUCCAUGAUACAGCAUUCCAUGUACAAUAAUAUUCAUCAAAUAUAUGUGCAUAAGAUUACAUCAUUGAUGAAUACAAUUAUCUAGCAUAGCCCUAAGGCUAUUUAAAUGGUGGCGGAAGUCUUGGUUUGGCAGCAUCUCACUCUGGCUGGACUCCAUAACUCACAGGACUGGCAAGAUUACGACCUAGCACGAUAGAACAAGCGAACAAUUCGGGCAUGACCUACAAAACUGGCAUGACACGCCAGGUCAGUACAUUGAAUGUACUUGCAAGACAACCAAAUACAUAGCAUCCAAACAAACAGAUGACAAAGCAAGAACCAAGCAUAUGCAACAGUCUACUUCAACACAACUUCUAAGCAUGGCAUGAUAUUAACUAGAAUCAUAAAUCAAACUAAGCAUGAACCACAUCAUAGCAUCUACUAGCAUGGCAUAUCAAACAAACUUCCAGCAAAGCAACAACAAAGCAUAGCAUAUCAAAUAAUGGCAUGACACCAUGAAACUAUGCUGAAAAUAAACUAUUACUUACCUCCCGUGAAGACAUGUUGUAUUAAUCUUACCCAACAAUCACUUACUCUGCCACGGCUCCUUGGAGCACACGCAUGGCUUACCAAGACCUAGUCUCGGGGUCAUAUCAACACAUCAUCCUGACUUGUCACGAUUUUCCCAUAGACCAAGUCACCACAUGACUUAUAUC